AUUAGUUGUAUUUUUUUUUUAAAACUCAAGUUCAUGUAUUCAACUUCAUCUUCAUCAUAUACAUUCUCCUCCACCAUGACACUGCAAACUCUCUCGGCUGGCGGCUGCUGCUCUGCAAACUCAACUUCUCCAACAUCCAACCGACGACGGGUGACAACAGAUUCCGUAAUCACGCAUCCCCCGGUCUAUUUUCGGAAUUAUUGGUAAGUAAUUUAUUUUCCCCAAAAUCCGUAGACAACGAGAUGGCAUGUUGGUUCUGUUAUUAACUCGUUUUCCUGUUUUGGAUGAGAUUCAAAUUGGGUUCUUUGUCUAUUUGUUGCUAUAUCUUGAUUCUUGAAGACUCGAACUUUGAAGCGUAUCAUGGAAUUCAUGUUUUUGGUGAAUGAAAUUCUGAAAUUCAUCCAUUAAUGAUUAAUCCUGCCAUCCAUGUUUAACUGAUGAAGUAAUUUAACAGCAAGUUAAUUGAGCAAUUGUUCUAAGGUGAGCUGCGAUGUUACGGAAUGGCUAUGUGCAAACCUCAAAUUAAAGUAACCAAAUAUAGAAGACUUUCAUUACAGAAGGAUAAGGACAUAAUUAUAGGUUAUCUAUGAAUGAUCACACCCGAACAGAAUAUCCCCAAAUCUAACUUCAAAUUCCCCUGCCCUCAACUCCCUCAUCAAAGCAAUGAGGGAUGAUUCAACUCUGCUGGCAUAUGAGGCCUUAUAUAGGUUGGGUUGGAUGAAAAAACCUGAUGCUAACCCUACAUUAAAAGCUGUUGUAAAUAAUCUUUCCUUGCAUCCCAUUGUUCGCCUAAAGGCCGCAGAAUCUCUUGGUGUAUUUGGUUUAGAGACAAGUAUUUUUGGUGUGGUCGGAGUAAAUAAUUAGAAUCUGUUUGUUAUUUUAUUAUUCAGGCACAAGACUUUCUUGUAUCUCAGUUUUUAUAUAUCCAUUUCAACUUGGUUGACCGAUUACUUCACUCUCUAUCUACACAGAUUUCUCUUUAAUUAUUCAUGGUUUAUAAGUGUUUUGAGAUUUCAAAAUUAAUGCUUGCAGAAUUUAUUUUUAGAACACGUUUUGAUUAGCAUUUUCCCUUUUAUUUGUAUUGAUGAUUAGAAUGAGGUUUUACUUAUAUUGAUUUUUCUAUAUACAAUCAAUUAUACACGUCCAUUGCCAAUUUGAUUGGAGAAGUUGCUAUAACCAUACUGAAGGAAUAUGUACAGUUCACUAAAGGCAUGUAUAAAGCUUGACUUUUCUACUUGCAGACAAUAAUGGAUUUUUAAUUUCUUGAGUUCAUAUGGGUAUUCUUUUAUGGUUUUAUGCAAUUUGAUUAGUUGAACUAAGUGUCUUCCUAUUGAACCCAUGCUAAAGGUUAUUAUAAACUCUAUUAAUUAAGAUAUUUGUUUAUGAGGCACGGUGCACCAAUUUUUGAGCCACUUAAAUUUUUGAAAUUUUGCAUUGUGCACCGAUUUAAGUAAUUGAAUUAGAUGUAGAACAUGAGAAAAAUUUGUGUCACUUUUCUUGCCAAUUUAACAUCCUUUUUAAGGCAUAAAAAUUUAAUGCACUGUUUUGUUUAUAAUCCCCCUUUUUUAAUUAUUGGUUAUGGGUGCAUUAAUUAUGGGUUGAAUAGGAUGUGACUUGUGAAUUCUUGAUUUGCAUUCAAUGAUUUUCCAGUAGGCUUUAAUUGUUAAAGUUUACUGGUUGAAUACGUUGUGACUAAUUAUUAUUAAUUAUUAGUUAAAAUAUCUUGUAGGGGCUAUAGACAGAGUUUUGAAUAACAGAGCUUUCUACAAUUCAAAUUGCAAAAAGGUAAGUUCGUAAACGGAAGAUAUGGGGAUUGUGCAUGCAAAUUAGAGUAUGCAUGCAUGCAUGCAUCUUUUAUUUCUCGUGUACGGUUGUGUUAUGUAUCUUGCAUAUUUUUGAUUUUAUGGACUGUUUUAUAUCUCUUGUGGAUUGUGUUUGUAGGAUGAGAUGGGGACUGGUGCAUCCAAAUUUUAAAAUGGAUGUUACCAAAUGAUUUCAUAUAUAGUCAAGACCUAUACAAGACUCAAUAUUUUUUACCAUGUCAACUACCUUCCAAUGUAUGCAGUAAAGAGAAAGAGUUAGCAGCAAAACAUGCUACUUGAAAGUUUGAAUAUGCAAUUCGAGUGAAGAUGGAGCAAAUGAUACAAAACAAGUUGAAGGAAGUUGAGCAACAAUUCAAUUAUACGUUGUGAGAACUAGCACUAGCAGCAUAUCUAUUUCUUUUUUUAAAUGCGUAAUAAUAGAUAUAGAUUAUUUUUGCUACUACUUUUAAGUUUAGAUGUAACCAUACUUAAAGCCCGUUUAAUACCUAUUUUUUUCAAAAUGCAUUUUUCCCUCUCUUCUUUUCAACUACACAUUUUUUAUUAAAAUAAU
RNAcentral lists this long non-coding RNA (2373 nucleotides) under Olea europaea subsp. europaea. The record is from RNAcentral. Lineage: Eukaryota; Viridiplantae; Streptophyta; Magnoliopsida; Lamiales; Oleaceae.